Molecule: long non-coding RNA, 273 nt
Organism: Aethalodelphis obliquidens (Pacific white-sided dolphin)
Lineage: Eukaryota; Metazoa; Chordata; Mammalia; Artiodactyla; Delphinidae
Exons: 2
Source: RefSeq, a predicted model, not a curated record
AGGCCGGGCCGGGGGUAACACUCUGCGGGUCUGAUCCAGCCAUGCCUGAUAGGAACCGGAAGAGCUUGUAGGAUCUAGUUCACCGAACAUGGAACCAGGCCCGGGCCGUCGGCAGUGAAAGUGUUGGAGUGCUCAUCGCUGGGCUGCCAGGAAUUCCCCCAACCUGCUUCUUUGUCCCGUAAAUAUCCCACGCCCCUACUUUGGGGAAGCCAAUCUGAGAUCUGUCCUCCCGUCCCCUCACUUGGCUGCCUAUGAAUAAACCCUUUCUCUGCU